AACUCCGGGACGGACAAUAUUCUCUUACACCGGAGCAAAAUGGCGACUGUCAUUCACAACCCCCUCAAAGCACUUGGGGACCAGUUCUACAGGGAAGCCAUCGAGCACUGUCGCAGCUACAACUCGAGGCUCUGUGCUGAACGCAGUGUCCGCCUGCCCUUUCUCGAUUCCCAGACUGGGGUGGCCCAGAACAACUGCUACAUCUGGAUGGAGAAAAGGCACCGGGGCCCAGGCCUGGCCCCCGGGCAACUGUAUACAUAUCCCGCUCGCUGUUGGCGUAAGAAGAGACGACUGCUCCCGCCUGAAGAUCCCAAGAUGAGGCUGCUCGAAAUCAAACCCGAAAAGGAGGUGCCGCUGAAGAAAGAUGGGUUCACGUCGGAAAGUACCACCCUAGAAGCCUUGCUCCGUGGUGAAGGGGUCGAGAAGAAAGUGGACGCGAAAGAGGAGGAUAGCAUCCAGGAGAUACAGAGGGUUUUGGAAAACGAUGAAAACAUCGAAGAAGGGAACGAAGAGGAGGAUUUAGAAGAAGACACGCCCAAACGAAAGAACAGGACUAGAGGACGAGCCCGAGGUUCCACAGGCGGGAGAAGAAGGAAUGACCCAGCUUCUCAAGAAGACCACGACAAACCUUAUGUCUGCGACAUCUGCGGCAAGCGCUACAAGAACCGGCCCGGGCUCAGCUACCAUUACGCGCACACUCAUUUAGCCAGCGAAGAGGGGGACGAGGCCCAAGAGGAGGAUAACCAGUCUCCACCCGCCCAUCGAAAUGAAAACCACAGGCCCCAGAAAGGACCAGACGGAAGUGUAAUUCCCAAUAACUACUGUGAUUUCUGCCUGGGAGGUUCCAACAUGAACAAAAAAAGUGGCCGGCCAGAAGAGUUGGUUUCCUGUGCAGACUGUGGACGAUCUGCUCAUUUGGGAGGAGAAGGCAGGAAGGAGAAGGAGGCAGCGGCCGCAGAGCGCAGUUCGGAGGACUUGUUCGGUUCCACGUCGGAAAGUGACACCUCGACUUUCCACGGCUUUGACGAGGACGAUUUGGAAGAGCCUCGAUCCGGCCGAAGACCCCACGGUGGCAGAGCCUCGCCCACGGCAGAUAAAAAAGGCGCCUGCUAAACUCUCGAAACACACUCUGGCCACGGCCCCUGACCCCCCGCCUCCCCCCAUGCUCCGGUCAUUGUUCUGGUUCCAAUUUUUAAAAAAUAUAUAUAAAAGAAAAGAGAAAAAAAAAGUUGUUCCCUCCCACCCUUCCUUGUCCGUCUCCUUCCCCUCCCCACUUCUCCCUCCCCCUUGUUUUGGGUAUGUACACUGAAAGCACAAACUUCUCAAACUGCAACAAACAAAACAGACUGAUUCCCCUAAAAGCGAUCGAACAACUUCAGGAGUUCCAGGCCUCUGGAUGACAUUUCUUUUCCUGGAAACCUGGAGUUACUUUGGUCGUCCUUUUAAUCUCGUUCCGAAAAAAAGAGAUUCUUUUUUACUAUGAGCAGAGUUGAUUUUCCUCACAUUCAUCAGCCAAGCCAUAAGGCAGGAACGAUGAGGUUGGAGACGAAGAUCCAACUGAAAUUGAGUUUGGAACGUACGUUGUUAUUAUUUAUUUAGUUUAGGUAUAGAAAAAUAGACUUCUUUUUUUUUUAAUGGGAAAGUGACAAAAAAAAAGGUGUCUAUGUGCUAUCGUCCUUGUGUAGAAAAAGCCACUGGGAGGAAGACUGUCUCGUCUGAGAUGGAAAACUGGUCACGAUGACUUCUGCUAUGUGAGAUUUUUGCACUUACUGGACUAUGUGGAGUUGUGACUCCCCACCUCAUCCAACUGCCCUCUGACCUCUUCCUCCUUCGUCCAGGGCCCAUCCCUGCUGCCCACCUCCCAGCUGGUUGAGGGCAUCAGCAGGGCAUGAAGAUCCACACCUCCCGGCCUCCACCCUGGGGGCCUCUGGGACCUUACCGCCUCUCACCGUCUCCUCAGCCCCCGCUGCCGCUUCUGUCAUGCCCUCUCUCUCUCACACCUUUCACCUCAGGAAGAGCCAUUUCCAAGAACAGGGAUGGAAUACCAAUGGAGGGUCAUAGACUGCACAAUGACCAAACAGCUGGAGAUCCUGAAUCACAGAAGAAACACAAAGGAAAAUACCUCACUUCUAUAUUUUCCCCCCUCACCCUUCCCUCUCAUUUACAAAAAAAAAAUGUAUAUGAAAAGCCUUUAGAUUGUCAGGUCGCUCGUAUUUCUUCUUUUCCCUUUUUUUUCCUUAUAGUGCCCGCCAGGCACUUUGUUUUAUGUUUCCAGUAGCACCUCCUGAAAUAAACCAAAGCAAUAGUAGCUCAAGUCACCCCCCCCACACUGUCCCCUGACCUCGGGGUGAUGGAGAAGAACAUCCAACUGUCCGAUUGGCUGUCCCAAGAAUGAGCAGAUGAGCGGCCAUGUUUGAAAGUCAAAUCUGCCUCUGGGACCCCAGCAACCUUCAAGCAAGCCAUUUCUGAAGAAGGUGAAGAGAAGCCAAGAUUAUUUGAACCUCCUCCUCCUCCUCCUUCUCCUCCUCUUGCUCCUCUUCCCUUUGCUGGCCCUUUUCCAUAGCUGUGUUUCAGCAACACAGGAGCCUGGACCAUGGAAAAGAUUCCAGCACUGCUCAGAGAAAUCUUGAGAAGCCCUAAGUUUGUGCAAUAAGAAGAAAACUUUUUUCCUUUUUUUUUUACCCUUGGUUUCAGUUUCUUUUAAGUGUCUGUAAAAAAAAAAAAAAAGAAAGCACCCAGGUCACACUGGAAAUGCUCUUCAGUAGAAAUUACCGAACACAGACAAACUGAAAAAAAAAGACUUUAUUUUAUUUAUUUCAAUAUUUAAAACAAAAGUGCUGACAAUGCACCGUGUUUUCGUUUGUCGUACAUUCUACUUCAAAAGUUAAAGGCGAUUUUGUGAAGAAGUGAAAUCAGAAAAGCACUUAAUGUAAAAUAAAGACUGAAUAUUAACUUUAAGAAAAAACCCCCACAUUUUUUAUUACGAAAAUAAAGAUCAACUCUGCUCUCAUGCUUUUAAAGAAGCCA
Molecule: RNA transcript, 3027 nt
Organism: Ornithorhynchus anatinus (platypus)
Lineage: Eukaryota; Metazoa; Chordata; Mammalia; Monotremata; Ornithorhynchidae
Gene: DPF3
Gene name: double PHD fingers 3
Exons: 10
Source: RefSeq, a predicted model, not a curated record